UAUACUAAUCUUCCAUAUAUAAUAUAAAAUAAAAAAUGUUAUAUCAAUUUAAUAAUAUAAAGACCUAAGCUUAAAGUAAAAGAAAGAUGAUUCAAUUAAAAUCAAAAAAUGCCACCAUUCCAACCUUUUGCUUUUGUAAUAUCCAUCUAAUUAGAUGAUCUAAAUUAAUGUCAUGUCAAUUUUUAAUAAAGUUGAUUCACUAUCAAUUCCAAAUAUAAUCUCCUAAUUUAAGCCAUGACCUUAAUAACCUUUAAAUUAUCACUUAUAUCUUCAAAGAAUUGUUUUUUAUAUUCAAAUAAUUAUUUGAAUAAUUAUAAAAACAUAAUAAUCUAAAUUUACACCUGAUUAUGAUGAAUGCAAUAAAUUAAAUAAUACAAAGCAAAGAUUCUAUAAUAUAAGAUAUAUGUUUUACAAACAGUACUAUAUAUAGAAAAUGUUUUAUAAACUAUGCAAUGUGCUGCAUAUAGAUUUUGUAUGAUAAGAUCUACAAAUUCUUUGAGGCAUAAAGAUGAAAUUAAAAUCCUCUAUGCCUAUGCACCUACCUAAAACGAACCUAUUUGACAACCUACUUGAAGCUCUCUUCAUGUACAUCUAUUUGCACUAUAUAAACUCAAAAUUUUAAAAAUUUAUUAAGCAAUUCUCACCACUCUAUAAGCCACAAACGUAAACAAAGUGAUAAGAGAUGAUUUACCUUCAAAGACGCACCUUGUACGGGAAUCAUGGUAGAGUGCUUUGACUACAAAACAAAGUAAGAUGUAAUUGCCACCUCCAUCGAUAUUAUUUUGCAGGUAGCAUCACAGUUGUCUAUCCAUCAAGAGCAAAAUUUAACGACCAACACUUUUAGCGCUCAUCCAUAAUUAACACGUUGUUCAGUGCUCUCUGCAACAUAUAACCACAAGCCUUGGCAUAGAAAUUGAGGCUUACGCGCCACAACAGCUCCAACUUCUAGAAUAUUGCCUCAAAUCCCACCAAUUGCUUCACAUC
Molecule: long non-coding RNA, 984 nt
Filed under: Physcomitrium patens
Lineage: Eukaryota; Viridiplantae; Streptophyta; Bryopsida; Funariales; Funariaceae
Description: long non-coding RNA (PPAT_LNC009941)
Source: RNAcentral